RNAcentral lists this ribosomal RNA (377 nucleotides) under uncultured delta proteobacterium. RNAcentral's name for it is "bacterial SSU rRNA". It matches the Rfam family "Bacterial small subunit ribosomal RNA", at positions 521 to 896 of the family's 1533-position model. The record is from RNAcentral. Lineage: Bacteria; Deltaproteobacteria.
UAAUACGGGGGGUGCAAGCGUUAUUCGGAAUUAUUGGGCGUAAAGGGCGCGUAGGCGGUCUCUUAAGUCAGAUGUGAAAGCCCGGGGCUUAACCCCGGAAGUGCAUUUGAAACUAAGGGACUUGAGUAUGGGAGAGGGAAGUGGAAUUCCUGGUGUAGAGGUGAAAUUCGUAGAUAUCAGGAGGAACACCGGUGGCGAAGGCGACUUCCUGGACCAAUACUGACGCUAAGGCGCGAAGGCGUGGGGAGCAAACAGGAUUAGAUACCCUGGUAGUCCACGCAGUAAACGGUGAGCACUAGGUGUAGCGGGUAUUGACCCCUGCUGUGCCGUAGCUAACGCAUUAAGUGUUCCGCCUGGGGAGUACGGUCGCAAGAUUA